This 440-nucleotide ribosomal RNA is filed under the name uncultured Rhodospirillaceae bacterium. Its description in RNAcentral is "bacterial SSU rRNA". It matches the Rfam family "Bacterial small subunit ribosomal RNA", at positions 337 to 796 of the family's 1533-position model. Lineage: Bacteria; Pseudomonadati; Pseudomonadota; Alphaproteobacteria; Rhodospirillales; Rhodospirillaceae. The record is from RNAcentral.
UCCUGGGAGGCUGCAGUGGGGAAUAUUGGGCAAUGGAGGCAACUCUGACCCAGCCAUGCCGCGUGGGUGACGAAGGUCUUCGGAUUGUAAAGCCCUUUCGGCGGAGACGAUGAUGACGGUAUCCGCAGAAGAAGCCCCGGCUAACUUCGUGCCAGCAGCCGCGGUAAUACGAAGGGGGCUAGCGUUGUUCGGAAUUACUGGGCGUAAAGGGCGUGUAGGCGGCCCGCUAAGUCAGGUGUGAAAGGCCUGGGCUCAACCCAGGAAAUGCGCCUGAGACUGACGGGCUUGAAUCCGGGAGAGGAUGGUGGAACUCCCAGUGUAGAGGUGAAAUUCGUAGAUAUUGGGAAGAACACCCGUGGCGAAGGCGGCCAUCUGGACCGGUAUUGACGCUAAGGCGCGACAGCGUGGGGAGCAAACAGGAUUAGAUACCCGAGUAGUCC